CCCGAGAUCAGAGCCUUGGAUUGCAUGUUAAGGGAGUGAAAACACAAUCUGUCCCAAAUUCUGCAGCGAGUCACCCAAGGGAGGCAGGCGGUGCAGCACACAGCAUAGUGUGUCUGUGCGUUAUUUUGGAUUUAAAAGUAAGGGAGGGGAUCUUUCACCUCUUUCUCACACACUGUCUCUCUUUACGAGUCACUUGUGACCACGAGGGGCGGGACCAGAGAUGCUCCAUGUCAUAUUUGAGGUCAAUAAGGUGCAAUUCAAUGACAAGACAAGCCAGAGCUCAGAGCGUGGGGGCUCAAAGGACAGACAACAUAUUAAUACUGAGAGCCUGACAGAGUGCGUCGAGGGGUUAGUAAGGUUAGAUUACAGAGACACACUAAAACACAUGUAAGCCUCUACUGCACGCCAGUGGUCAGAAGAGUGAUAUGCAAACUUAUGGAGAGGUGAGUACAUUCAUGGACAAUCUCAGUCUAUUAUUUGAAAAUAAAUCCAGAUUUUUUUUUUCUUCAAAAAAUUGUUCGAAAGUUAAGUAGGAACUGAGAAGCGUUUAGUCCAAGCUCGCUCAACAAGUAGCAAAAUAGUCUUAGGUUUGUUCGAGAGUUUUGUUCGUAUCCCUCUGAGGAAGGUUAGACAGCUUAGCGACAAAAUACUCACUCGGUCGUGACAUCGAAAUCAAACAUCGUCUUCACCUGCAGCAGGUGGACCGGGACUUGACACGACUGCAUCGAAAAACAACGAACAUCUGAACGCGUGUAAAACAAUACCAAAAUGCUCUACCCUUAUCGGCAUGCAAAGAUUUGUCUCCGAAAAAUGAACAACACACACUUCCUAAAUGGUUUUUCUUUUUUUGUUUCUUUGAUUUUUUUUUUUUGUCCACGCUUCACUUUGAUAUCAUGCAAUAUAGACGUGCAAAAAAGAUAACAUCUAUUUCCACAAAAUACAUCUUCAUCGUAACUAUAAAAGGCUGUGUUUAAGAAUGCUAUCUAGUCACAUUUUUUUUUUAGCAUUAUUAUGCUAACCUAUCACUAUAUUGAUACUCUAGCCCCAGAGUCAUAGUGCUGUUGCAUCCUGGGAAGAGUAGUUCCCAGAGGACAGGCUAACACUUGGCUAACAUGGCGGUCCCUCGUCUUGUGGCAGGAGUGAAGAGGGAUUGAACAAACUGCUAUACUGAAGCGCUUUGUCUGUUAGUGUACCUAGUUCUCAAAAACUGACCCCCUAUGUAUUGAUUUAUAAAUAUGGUUCAUUUGGCACUUUUCACAUUUUCUUAAUAUAAAAGUAUGUCUCCUCUUACCUAAUGUGAUUUAAAUCAACACAUUUACAGUUCUGUUUUGGCACAGGUUUUACUUGUUCAGGUUAAAAUUAUGCUCUUAUUAACUUAUUGUCAGCUUAUAACAGAGCGUGUAUUACACUGCUUGCAACUAGCCUCUCCAGCUAAAGGACAGAUUUCGAUAUGUUUUUACCUUGUAUUUUUUUCUUGUUAUUAUUAUUAAAUAGCAGCAUCUUCCACAAAUUGAAAAAAAAAUUACUCGUGUAAACCUAUCCAACAUCUACGGGUAAAUCCAAAAGCUCCUACGGCACACAGAGGAUAAGGGACGGGACGACACAACAUGUAUUGCUUCUAGUACUUGUCACAUUUUAUCUCAAUCCCCUAACGUUAUGAUAACUAAAGAGAUUAGCUGCUGUGUAAAAGAC
This is a long non-coding RNA of Astatotilapia calliptera (eastern happy), 1692 nucleotides long. NCBI's taxonomy places the organism in Eukaryota, Metazoa, Chordata, Actinopteri, Cichliformes, Cichlidae. The record is from Ensembl.